This is an RNA transcript of Cebus imitator (Panamanian white-faced capuchin), 4026 nucleotides long. It is a transcript of the gene named selenide, water dikinase 2-like, with no coding region annotated. The transcript is spliced from 2 exons. Lineage: Eukaryota; Metazoa; Chordata; Mammalia; Primates; Cebidae. The record is from RefSeq and is a predicted model, not a curated record.
GCCUCCUGAAGUACUGGGAUUUCAGGCAUGAGCAACUGUGCCCAGCCCAUUUAAUUUCUUUCUGGAAGCUCAGUAGGGUAGUUUCUUGUGUUUUUGCUGAAAAGCCGUGAAAACCAUUUAAGUUUGCAAAAAUGUACACUAAGAAAUGAAGAAUGUUUCCUAAAAUCUUGUGUGACCACAUUACAGAGGAAUCAAAAAACUAUGAGAUCACUGAAAAUAGACUUUACAUUUAGUCACUUACUGAUGGAAGAAAAAACUGAUAGACUUAAUAUAGAGGAUCACAAAGAGUGAAUGUAAGACUAGACUAGAAGAAAUUCAGAUUCCCCAUGCAGGCUCCUUCUUUCCUAUAUAUAUUCUAUGCAGAGAAGCAAUAAAGCUUAUGAACAAAAGCACAGGCUUCAAAACUCGGUUUCUUGAGCUGAGUUCAGCUCCAGCCCUUAUUAGCUCCGUGAGGUUGGCCAAGUUGCUUAACCUUCCUUAGCCCCUUUCCUCAUCUGUGGAGUAUAACACCACCUAGCACAUAGGAUUGUUGAGAUGAUGAGACAGGAUAGACAGCUAAAUUAGAUAGCAAUUACUUGGAAUAGCACUUGGUACGGUUAUGUGGUAAGCACAAAAUAAACAUUAGUUAUGAGUGUUUGAUGCCAUGCCUAUUUUUAAAGGCAAGUUUACCAUAAAAUGUAGGGUAAUUAAACUGACCAGCUAAAGUCCAGUAUAUAAAAUGUUAAAUACAUUUUAAGAGCCCUGGAAGAAUGUCUAUUUUAUAGGAAACGGCAUGAGAGUGGUUAGUCUUGAGGAGAUAUUACACUUGAAAAGGAAUGAAGAAAAGGUAGGGCACAGUAAAGACAAGGGAUAAGUACCUCCUUUUCAUCACUUAUUCAUCCAUUAAACAUUCACUGAUUGUCCACUAUAUGCUAAAGACCAUACCAGGUCAUCUUAAGUCAGCGGUUCUCAAAGCGUGGUCCACAGGUCAAAACCACUUUUAUGAUAAUACAAAGAUGAUUUUCUCAAUGUGUUGAGAUUUGCCCUGCUGGUGUAAACACAACGGUGACUGGAACUGCUGGGCAUGCAUCAAGACAGCGGUACCAAUUUGUCACUGUGUUCUUCACCACCAUACCCAGUACGGGAAAUCCCUUCCUUUUAUCAAUGUGAACGUUUUCUUUUUCUAAUAUCAUAUAAUCCGUUAAGACUGAUAAAUUUCCGGAUAAAUUUCUGAAAUCUUUACAUGUGAGACUGGUUUAUGAUGAUCAGGUUUAGAUAUUAAAGGUAUGCUGGAUUCAUAAAAGAAAUUGGGAGGAAGACCUGGAAGGCUGCCUGAGGCGUGAGUCUGACCGUGCGCGAUGGCAGAAGCCUCGGCGACGGGCGCCUGCGGAGAGGUGAUGGCGGCGAUGGCACCUGCGGAAGGCUCCUCGGCCCGGCGGGCUUGACUCUGGCCCGGAGCUUCUCCAACUACCGGCCCUUCGAGCCCCAGGCGUUGGGCCUCAGCCCUGCCUGGCGGCUGACGGGCUUCUCCCGCAUGAAGGGCUGAGGCUGCAAGGCCCAGCAGGAGACGCUGCUCAAACUCCCGGCGGGACUGACGCGGCCGGACGUGCGGCCCCUACUGGGCGGGGCCUGGUAGGCGGUCCGGAAGAGGCGUCCCAGGAAACCGGAGCGGGCCCCAGCCCCACUUUUCCAACCGUGGGCAUCAGGAUGGACUCCUGCAUCAUUCCCCUGAGGCAUGGGGGCCUGUCGCUAGUGCAGACCACGGCCUUCUUUUACCCCUUGGUGGAGGAUCCCUACGUGAUGGGCACAUAGCUUGUGCCAACGUGCUGAGUGACCUCUACGCCAUGGGCCUUACUGAGUGUGACAACAUGUUGAUGUUACUCAGCGUCAGCCAGAGUAUGAGAGAGGAGGAACGCGAAAAGGUAAUGCCACUCACAGUCAAAGGCUUUCGGGAUGCGACUGAAGAAGAAGGGACUGCAGUGGCAGGUGGGCAAACGCUGCUCAACCCUUGGAUUAUAAUCGGUGGAGUCGGCACUGUGGUAUGCCAGCCAAAUGAAGUCAUAAUGCCCAACAGGGCGGUGACUGGGGAUGUGCUGGUGUUAACCAAACCGUUAGGAGCCCAGGUUGCUGUCAAUGCCCACCAAUGGCUGGAUAAUCCUGAAAGAUGGAAUAAAGAUGGCGGUCUCCAGAGAAGAGUGGAGCUGGCGUAACAGGAAGCCAUGUUCAGUAUGACUACCCUCAACAGAACUGCUGCAGGUUUAAUGCACACAUUUAAUGCCCAUGCCGCCACAGACAUCACAGGCUUCGGCAUUCUAGGACACUCCCAGAACCUUGCGAAACAACAAAGAAACGAAGUGUCCUUUGUUAUUCAUAAUCUGCCAAUAAUUGCCAAAAUGGUUGCCUUCAGCAAGGCCAGUGGACGGUUUGGGCUUCUACAAGGAACCUCAGCUGAAACCUCUGGGGGAUUACUGAUUUGUCUGCCCAGAGAACAGGCGGCCCGCUUUUGUUCAGAAAUCAAAUCCUCCAAGUACGGAGAGAGUCACCAAGCGUGGAUCGUUGGCAUUGUGGAAAAGGGAACCCGAACGGCCCGGAUCAUUGACAAGCCGCGAGUUAUUCCUACCUCGUGGGGCCACAGCUGCUGCUGUUGCUCCUGACAAUUCAAAUGCCUCCUCUGAGCCUUGCUCGUGAGAUGAAAGAACAGAAGUUGUUUGGACCCUGGAGCUGUUGUACACAAUCACGGAUGGUUCUCAAGAGUUGAUUUUAAGAAAUUUCCAAAGGCUGCCUGCAUAGUGGUUCCAACUGCCCUUUCUAGGUGAUUGGAAUCAGCCCAUCAAAAGCAGCCUUUAUGUACAUUCCGAGGCCAGAGUAAUAUUUUGAACUUUGUGGGGGAUGUUUGUUCAUCACUUGGGUAGAGGAGGAGCAGAAAUAUCUCUGUUUUCUCUUUCCAAAGUAAGAUGAGGCUAUUCCAGGUUGAGGGAUUUUUCUUUGCACUGGGUUAAUUUCUGCACAGUGAUUGAGAUGAUUUAUUAAAACCACACACACACAAAUUGCAAAAUGAAAAAAUUUAGGUCAGAAGCAAAUGAGUUUUGGACCAAUACUGUUGAUAAAUCUAAAUUGUUAAGAGAGAUCUUAUAAUGCAACCUCAAAUUCUUUAUUAGACUUUACUGAGUACUGGCUCUUUCCUGCUCUAAACAAGAAUUGCGCAGCUUGUCAUGACUGGGAAAGGAGGACCUGCAACCAUCUGGCUUGGUCUCUGUUAAUGACGUCUCUCCCUCUAAACCCCAUUAAGGACUAGGAGAGGCAGAGCAAGCCUCAGAGCCCCGGCCUUGGUGGUUAUUAAGAUGUUAAGUCAUUUGCUGCAAAUUUCUGGUGCUCAAUAAAGAGUAAUUUCUUCCUAAAUAAAAAAAUAAUUGGGUGGUUUUCCAUCUUUUUCCAUAGCUUUGAGUAGCUUAAAGAUAAAACACAGCUAUUAUCUGGCCUUUCUUCCUUUCUCAGUAAUAGAGCCUUACAUUUCAAAUUUACUGUGGUGUGACUAGUCAAUUAAAAAUUUCAACUUCUUUUUGAGUCAAUAUUCAUUCUUUAAAGUACCGUAACUUAACAGACAAGCCUUGGUGUUACAUGUCAUGUCAUUUUUUCCCUCCUGGGACAUAAGGAUUUUAAGCAAGCUUUUCUUCUGGACUUUUUUCUGUUAUACAAAACACAAACAUCCAUAAAGAUACUUGUGUUUGAAUAGUCACCUUUCCAUGGUGUCAGUUACUUGCUGAAUAGCACAGGAAGGAGGAAGAGCUACAAUUUCAGCAUGUUAUCAAAAAUAUUCUCUAAUUAAAUCUGUCUUCCCUAAAAGCAUGUCUCCCUCCCCUUGGUUUGCAGCCUUCAAAUUAUUAGAGCUUACAGUUAGUGAGGCUUCUCUUUCAGUUUCUAAUUUCCCAGCUGGUCUUCUGUAGAGGAUUUGAGCCUACAAUGAUCAGUUGGGCCUUUUACAGAAAUCUGUAUCUGGCACAAAGUCUGAAACAUUUGUAUCAGAUUUCAGGCCGCUCCCUCAAAGCA